UUUGGUCUAUUCAUUUAUAAACAGACCAAACAAAAAUGCUGAAAAAACAUAUUUUUAUACUUGAUUAUAAUGUAUCAUCCCAAGUACAGGAAAAAAAUGUGUAAGAGAGGGUCUCAUAUAAAAAACCCUUUUUAGUAAGUCAUUUUGUGGGUCUCAACUCACCCACAAUAGAAACUGAUUGUAUCAAAUAAUCUAUCUGUUCUUUUCUCUCAGCUCUCAAAAUUUCAUGUUUUAUACCUCUAUAGUGACCUUUAAAACUUCCUAAAAGGCCAUUUUAAACUGCAAAAAUUAUUUGUUCUGAUGUUUUAAUCAUAAAAAUCUCUCUUUUUUUCCAAUGUUAGGUAACAUUUUGCAAAGCAUUCCUCUAUAUUUUGUUAUAAAGUCUGUUACUUGUAUUAGUAUAAUUUUUCAUUUUAGUUUAAUGCUUGUCUUAAAUCAUUUAUUUCAAUUUUUAAUUUUUUAAUAAAGUUGAUGCUUAUAUUACUAUUUUAAAGCAUUCUUUCAGUUUUAAAAUUAAAGAUGAUCAGGGAAAUGCAAAUUAAAACCACAGUGAGAUACUACCUUACCCCAAUAAGAAUUGUCAUUAUUAAAAAGU
RNAcentral lists this long non-coding RNA (595 nucleotides) under Pan troglodytes (chimpanzee). Its description in RNAcentral is "long non-coding RNA NONPTRT003976". Lineage: Eukaryota; Metazoa; Chordata; Mammalia; Primates; Hominidae. The record is from RNAcentral.